UAUAAAAAUAAAAGAGAUAUAACUAUACAUUAAGGGCUUGUUUGGUUCAUCCAUUUUAGAUAUGGAAUGGGAAUCGGUUUGAUCAAAUCCGGUUAAUUUUGUUUGGUUCACAGGAAUUGGUUUGGGAUUCCUAUUCCGGACUGGAAUGGGGAUUACCGAUUAGCCUUCAAAUUGAUUCCGGUCUCCAAGCCCAGAUUGAGAUUUCAUUCCUGAAGCCCACUAGGUUCCCGAGGCCCACGUGACCAUCUCUCCCUCCUCUCUCCCUGUAUACGAUCUAUCCCUCUCUCAUCA
This 291-nucleotide long non-coding RNA is filed under the name Ananas comosus (pineapple). RNAcentral describes it as "long non-coding RNA (ACOM_LNC032709)". Lineage: Eukaryota; Viridiplantae; Streptophyta; Magnoliopsida; Poales; Bromeliaceae. The record is from RNAcentral.